Coccinella septempunctata (seven-spotted ladybird) is the source of this 2598-nucleotide long non-coding RNA. RefSeq lists it as uncharacterized. The transcript is spliced from 6 exons. The record is from RefSeq and is a predicted model, not a curated record. Lineage: Eukaryota; Metazoa; Arthropoda; Insecta; Coleoptera; Coccinellidae.
GCAACUGGUGAAUUAGAAUUUUGAAGAAAAUUGUAGGCAAUUCAUCUAAGAUUUUACUGUAGUACUUAUCAAAGUACGUUGUUUGAAUUGUAGCAACUGGAACUUGGGAUGCCGAGGAGCACAUUUGGAUUAGGGUUCAGAGAGGGUCAAGUCAAAUAGAUGCAGAUAAAGGUUGAGCCAAGGUAAGAUAUACUUAAGAAUAUAAUUAUUUUUGUUACAGAAGUGUUGAGAUUUACAUCUAUUAACUCGCAUAAAAAGAAAUUAGCACGAAUUGUCACUGUUAAAAAAUAGGAACACUCAUCUCAAAUCAUCUGUCCAGAGCACUUCUUGAAGCUGUUAACCGAAUGGGCGUUCACUGCUGCUGUCGGAAGACCAUCCCAGGUAUUGAAGAACCUAUUGGGGAGGAAGUGUACUUUGCUGGUGGACCGAAACCUUUUCUUCGCCAUAAGAUAAUAUCAUGUUGAACAGGCUGUGAAGUGCUCUGUGUGUGGUUAUCAAGUCGCCCCUGAGACGACAGGUAGCAAAUGGAGGGAGACACAUUAUUGGAAACAGCUGCAAUAUAUUGAUCGUAAAUACAAAAAUGAAGAAAUGGGUAAAAACUUUAUGAAAGAUGCUGUGUUUGGGGUGGAGUGAAAAUAGCUCAUGCUAUAUAUCAGGAGACUAAACACCUCGUUAAGUUAUGGAUCUAAGUGAUUCAAAGAGAAAAAAGGAUCACAAAUAGAAGUAAAACCUUUCCAUGGUGUUGGUGAAAAAGAACAUAAAUUAAUCAUUAAGAAUGAGAUUAGUUGACUUAUCUCUAAUGGAACAUUCUAUAGGAGACAUUUAAAGAGACCACCUUAAGGGCAUGGGAUACGACCCAUUUCUGCAAGGGAACUUGCCAUCAUCAGGUAUUCUGAAAACAAAUUCUCCCAACAAAUUGUGAAGGAUCUGAAAAUUAAGCUAUAGCCUACCAGCGAAGGUCGACAACUGUGAUAACAUUUAAGUGAAGCAGACUUUUAUUUGAAGACUCGUUAGAUGAAAAGAACGAAGAAACUAAAGUUUUAGCUCUGAUUCCUUCAAAACGUUAAAUGAAAGCAACUGGAACUUAAGAGGAAUGCCUAGCAAUCUUUGUCAUCGCUGUUUAUUGAAUAGCAUUAGGAUUUUCGGAGUUUGGAGAGACUCAAGCCAAUUAAUGGAGAAAAAGUUCAAGCUAAGAUGCUGUGUUUGGGGUGGAGUGAAAAUAGCUCAUGCUAUAUAUCAGGAGGCUAAACACCUUGUAAAGUUAUGGACCUAAGUGAUUCAAAGAGAAAAAAGGAUCACACAUAGAAGUAAAACCUGUCCAAAAUUCCAUGGUGUUGGGGAAAAAGGAGAUAAAUUAAUCCUUAAGAAUGAGAUAAGUUAACUUGUCUCUAAUGGAACAUUCUAUAGAAGAUAUUUAAAGAUACCUCCUCUGGGCAUGGGUAACUGAUGCUUAUUUCCUAUAUAUUACUUAUCUUGUUCAGCCCAUAAGCAAGGUUUUUUUAUAUAUACAUCCAGAGUGAGGAUAUAUCUCGUUUUGAUCAAAAAUGGACUUAACUCCCUUUUCCCUGGCACCACAGAAUUGCUGUGCCUUAGAACAAAAAACUAAAUCAGAAUCAUUGACAGAAAAAUGUUAUUCGAUGAAGAAUGUUUUGAACUCAACAAAAAUUUGGAGUGUACAUUUAAAAUGAAGUCUAACAUGGAUCCAGAAACCAGUAGAGAAGUAUUUAUAAAUGAGAGAGUCUAUGAGAAUAGUUAUAGUAGCUAUUUGCUAUCGAUCACCAGCAUUAUUAACCUCAAUUUUUAAAUGUAUAAGUUCAUUUUCAUACCUGUGAGUAUACUAGAUUUUAUUCGAGUUCUUUCAUCUGGGAAAAUUUUUGUCACUGUUGUACCAUCAUGAAAUUCUGGGAGAACAGUAUUGAUAUUUUUUUUUAUAUUCAUCUGUAUCUGCGUAUAUUUUCAAGUCAUAAUCUCAGAUGAAAGAUCUAAAAGGAUCCAGCUAUGAUUUUGUAAAUGAAGGUCAAGGUUGUUAUCAUUUCCUUCCAAGAGCACUUCAAUAGAAAGUUAAGUCCUGUUAUGUAGUAUGAAAUUAUGGUUUGUGGAUGGAAGAUGCAAUAGAGAGAAUAGUUCAAGGAAAUUAGUAAAAAUUUUGUUAUUUCCAUUUGAAAUGAGUCAUUCUAACUGCCUAAAAUGUCAGGACUUUGUCAUUCCUAUAGAGAAACCGACAUAGCCUCUUUGUCACGCCAUCAAUGUAAAGUUACAGUUGAUUAUUUAGGAAAAUAUGACUCUAUUUUCAUCCACUGAAGUAUAUUCAAAAAUGAAACAACUUGUUUUUAUAGGCAAACCUUCAUUAUUCAAAGGAUUCAAAUAUUUUAUCAAUAAUUGAUAACUGAAUACCUUCAAUGAGCAAUCAUACAGUUUCUAAUCUUCCUUCAAUAGCGUCCAAGGGUUACUGAUUUCAAAUUUAAUCGAUCAUUAUCAAUAAUUGAUUCCAUAUUAAGGCACUAUUAAUUUAGUUACUGAAUAGAAUAAUUAUAUGCUCAAAUACUUAAAUUGUAUGUUACUUCCGAUCAAUGAAUAAAGGUGAUUUCUAUGUCUGAA